ACACCUCAAAUAUAUUUUUAAACUUUCUGUACUCAUUUGUUUCUUAAAUUCUAUUUUUCAUUAUUUUUCACUCUUUUUAUUUUUUCUUUAAUUUUAUUUUCAUUUUUUAAUUCAUUUAUCUCAAUCUUUAUUUUUUUUUCUCUCUUUUUUCCCCAAGCAUUAUCUAUUUCUUCUUUUUUUUUCUUUUUUUUUUAAAAUUCAUUUGUCUUUAACCUUUAUUUUUAGUUUUUAUUAUUUCUC
Molecule: long non-coding RNA, 240 nt
Filed under: Capsicum annuum
Lineage: Eukaryota; Viridiplantae; Streptophyta; Magnoliopsida; Solanales; Solanaceae
Description: long non-coding RNA (CANN_LNC008243)
Source: RNAcentral